RNAcentral lists this ribosomal RNA (254 nucleotides) under uncultured bacterium. RNAcentral's name for it is "partial 16S ribosomal RNA". It matches the Rfam family "Bacterial small subunit ribosomal RNA", at positions 524 to 776 of the family's 1533-position model. The record is from RNAcentral.
CACGUAGGGGGCAAGCGUUGUCCGGAUUUAUUGGGCGUAAGGAGCUCGUAGGCGGCUUAGUAAGUCGGGUGUGAAACCUCCAGGCUCAACCUGGAGACGCCACCCGAUACUGCUAUAGCUAGAGUCCGGUAGGGGAGCGUGGAAUUCCUGGUGUAGCGGUGAAAUGCGCAGAUAUCAGGAGGAACACCAGCGGCGAAGGCAGCACUCUGGGACGUGACUGACGCUGAGACGCGAAAGCGUGGGGAGCAAACAGG